UUCCAUUAAAGACCGAAGCCUUAAGUCAGCAAAAUCAUAAAAAUUUGUUUUUGAAAAUCAUGAUUAUGCCUAUCAGAAAUCAGGAUUAGAAAGUCCGCUGGAGCCUAAAUUAAGUCUCGGCCUUUCUUCUUUUCUGUUUUUCCAUCUUCCUGUAGCUAGCAUUAAAUAAUGCCACUGUCAGUUUUGCGAAAAAAUCGGAAAAAAACUAAUCUCU
RNAcentral lists this long non-coding RNA (214 nucleotides) under Elaeis guineensis (African oil palm). RNAcentral describes it as "long non-coding RNA (EGUI_LNC058977)". Lineage: Eukaryota; Viridiplantae; Streptophyta; Magnoliopsida; Arecales; Arecaceae. The record is from RNAcentral.